CUCCAUGUGGCCACCCGUUCCACUAACUUGGGGCUUCCAGCUGGGCCACAGCCUGGGAGCUGGACACGGCAGCCGUGUGUGGGUGGCCGGGCCCUGUUGCCACGCCAGCUGCCACUUGCGGCCUCCUGAGCAGAUGUGGCCCUCCCAGCACAAGAAGCCCUGGGCAGCUCCUGGUUCCGUGGGGCCCUGUGAGCCCCUGGGGGGCACCUCCUGAGCUUGUCCUCCCAGGGUGGCCCCGGGGACGCUGAGCCAGGCAGGGCCUGCUGUACAGGCAGGGGGGCUUCAACCCCCCACCUAGAACCCACGCAUGGCUUUGGUGCGUGUCACAGGCACGGACUCCCCUCGCUGGAAAACGUAAAUGACACGAAAGUGCAUGGAGGAAAAUGGGGGGCCUGUGCCCUCAGACCCCACCCAUGAGUGGGCUGCCGAUUCUUUUCCAGUAUUUUGAAUAUUUUGCCUAUAAAUGUCACACGUGUCUAGGGCACAAAAGUGGGCCACGAUACACAGAAAGUUCUUAGUUUAAUUUAACUCUGUUCCACGAGCAGCAUCCCGGUGAAUGUAGGUCCACACCCUGUUUUAAAAAGCAUUAGAGUAUUUCAUCGUGUGCACACCCCCGGGGGUGAAGUCACCACUGCUGUCUUGUUGGAGCCUGAGAUGUCAUCAGCGGGCUUCCCUCCUGGGGCGCCCUCGGUGUGGACCCUGGGCGCCACCUGGGCGCAACCUCGUGGGGAAGAUACCUGCAGCUGGAAGGACACCCGGAGCAGCUGUGAUGUUGUCAGCAAACCGUGUGUGUCCUGUCAUUGCACUCCUGGACGCAUCACCAUGUCUCCUAACAGAAGCUGUCUGUCCCAGCACGCUUUGUCACAGUUCAUUAACAAUUCCUCACUCAAAUGGAAUGCUAGCCCACGUGCAGAUCCUGUUCUAAACUGUAAUUUAAUAGUGGGUUCAUUUGAACCGAGGUCCAGACAGACUCUAUGUGUCAUGUAUGAACACCGCGUCCCCCGAGUCCCUCCAGAUCUGGUCACGGUCCCUCCCUCUCCCACAUCAUGGGUUUCCACCCCCCAGGUCGACUAGCAGAUGAAAUCGUGCGGGGGGAGGGGGUCUCUGUUCCAGCGCCCCGUGUUCUCAUUUUAGGCUCCCACACUCCUGCAGCUUGAAAUGAACUCUAACAGCCGCGUCGUCUCAGGUUGAUUUGUCUCUGUGACUACUUCACAGCCGAAGGUGGCGUCAGUCGUGUCGGGAGGCGGGUCCCGGCUGUCCACCUCACUUCCUAGGAUGCUGAGGCCGUUCGGUGGUUCAGGUGGUAACAGUCUGCCCCCAGGUAGGUUUCACGGAAACUUCCACCUGAGGGUUUUAACAUCCGCUGAAAUGAUCAGAACUGAUUUUUCAGUAGGGUUUUGAAACUUGUAGUUCUCUCAUUUCCUCUGAUACUAUUUGAGUUCUUCUCUUUAUUUUUUAAAGUGGGCUUUUAUACCCAGCGUGGAUCCCAGAGCAGGACUUGAAGUCAUGACCCUGAGAUCAAGACCUGAGCUAAGGUCAAGAGUCAGGUGCCUAACCGACCGAGCCACCCAGGGUUCCCAGAUUUGCACACUCUGGACGUUUCAUAUGAAGGUAAUCGUACGGGAUGUCUCUCUAAUUCCAUGGGUCCGUCUACACUGGCCUUGCAGAUCUCCCUCAUUCCCAGGAGUUGCUAUACCGAACUGGUAUGUUGCUGUAAUGCCCCAAAGGUUUCUUUCCUGAUUUGGGCUGCCUUACUAAUUCCCCACUUUGUCUAAACUAACCAGUGAUACCCCCUAAUUCCCUAGAGGUGUCUGCUCUGAACAGGUUGCGCUCCGUAAUACGCAGGCAUGUCUCCCCUCGCCUAGGCUGUCACCCCAUCCCCCCCGUGUGGAUCCACCUGUACUCGGGAUGGCUCCCUAAUUAGUCCCUGAUUAGUCCACCCUGCUGUGAUGUGUCUCUAAUCCCCCAGGUGUAUUGCUCCGAUAUGGGUUGUCUGAUCCCCAGGUGUGUCUGUGCUCACUGGGGAUGUUGGGGAUGUUUCAGUAACUCCCUGUAUGUGUACACUCUUCCAGAAUGUUUUCCUAGCUCUCUGGUCUGCCUAUCCUGACCUGCUAUGGCCGCCUAAUUCCCCAGUGUGUCUACUUUGACCUGAUGUCUUCCUAGUUCUCUAGGUGUGUGUCCCUGACCUUGGAAGCCCCCAUAAUAUUCCAAGUGUCUACACUGACCUGAGUUGUUUCCUUAAUCAGCAAACGUGUCUGCUGUGGCAUGGGUUUUCUCCCUAAUUCCCCAUUUUUACACACUGACCCGGGACAUGUUUCUAGCUGUCGAGAUGUGUCUCCACUGACCAGGGACGCGUUCCUAAUACCCCAGCUUUGUAUACUGUGUUCUGGGAUCUUUCUCAUAUUACUCAGUUCUGUCCCCCUUGAGUUGGGACAGCUCAUUAGGACCCCCGUUGUGGCUACUCUGUCCCUACUUCCAGUGGAUGUCUGACCUGACCUGGUGUGUAACAGACAUCAUCUAGGUGUGCCGUGACCCCUCACGGCUCUCUUACCUUUAUUAUGUGCACAUUGCUUUCUGAUUUCUUUCUCAUUACCUAGUUGUGCUAUCGUGACCCGGGACAUAUCCUCAUUUCCUCAGAUUUGUCUACCCUAACUGGAGAUAGCUCCGUAAUUCCUGAGUUGUGUCAACACUGGCCAGGAAUGUCUCCCUGAUUUCCCAGGUGUGUUUACUGUGACCAGGAUUUGUCUCAAAUUCCACAGGUGUUUCUACACUUCCCUAGAAGGCUUCCGUGGUUCCGCGCCGGUGCACACAUUGUACGUGACGUCCCUAGAACUACAGGUGUGUCCUCUCUGCCUCCCUGAUUCUGUAGGUGUGUCUACUCCAAUCUGGAACGUCUCUUACUCCAGCGUGUAUCUGCCUUAAAGCUGGAUGUCUCCCCAGUUCACGGUGUCCACACUGACCAGGGAUAUCUCCCUCAUUGCCCAGCUGUGUCAACUCUGAGGAUGUCUCCCUCAUUUCUUAGGUGGGUCCACAAUAGCCUGAGAUGUCUCCCUAAUUCCUCCUGUGUGUAAACAGGUCUUGGGAUGUUCUGUUAAAUCCCAAGGUAUGUGUCCUGACUUGGGAUGCCCAAUUCCACAGAUGUGUCAACAAGGACUCGGGAUAUCUCCUUAAUUCUCCUGUGUGUCUACUCUGACAAGGGUUAUUUACCUAAUUCUUCGGUUUUGUCUGCAGUGAACUAGAUGCCUUCCUAACUGCCUGUGUGUUUACACCGACCUGUGACACAUCUCGAGUUUCACAGGAUCGUAUACCCUGGCUUUGGAUGCCUCCGUGACUACUCAGGUAAGUCUACUCAGACCCGAGAGGCCAGUCUAAUAACACAGGUGUGUCUCCACUGAUCUGGGAUGUUGGUGUAAAUCCCAAAUUGUGUCUUCCGUGACCUGGGAUGUCUCCCUAGUUCCCAGGGUGUGAAUUCUAACCAGUGGUGUUUCCCUAAUUUCUCAUGUGUGUAUCCGUGACCCGGGAUGUCUCCAUAAUUCUCCUUAUGUAUCUACCAUGAUGGAAGAUGCCAAGCUGUUCCUUAACUUUGUCUUUGACCUCAGAUAGCUCCCUAAUUUUGCCCAGGUGUGCCUACCCAAACACGGAUGUCUACCUGAUUACCCGGACGUGUCAACUCUACCACGGAUAAUCGCAUGAUUCUCCACUUGUAGCUACACUGACCUAGGCUGUUUCUCUCUUUCCCCACGUGUGUCCAACACAGGUUGGUUGUCUGCUCAAUUCCCUGGGCCUGUCCACACUGAUGAAGGGUGUCUCUCUAAUUCCUCAGGUUUGAUCACUCUGAAUUGGCUCGUAUCCCUUCUUUCCCGUGUGUUUACCCUGCCCGGCGAUGUCUCCCAAAUUUGCACACGUGUCUACUGUGAUGUGGAAUGUCUCCCUAAUUCCCCAGGUUUGUGUUCACUGACCUGACCUGGGAUGUCUCCCUAAUUCCACAGAUGUGUCUACACUGACCUGCAAUACAUCUCUGGUUAUUCAGGAGUUUACCUUAUCGUAGGAUGUCUGCCUAAUUUCACAGGAAUUUCUAUACAGAAUGAGAAUGACUCCCUAGAACCCCAGGUGUGUCUGUUAUUACCUGGGAUGUUUCUCUUAAUUCCUCAGUUGUGCUUACACUGACUUGGGAGAUCGCCCAAAUCCCCCAGGGGUGUCUACACUGACCUGCAAUGUUUCCCUAAUCCCCCAGGUUAAUCUACUCUUAUCAAGGAUGUCUAAUUCCUUCAUUUCCACUUUGAUCUUGGACAUCUCCCUAAUUCCCUAGUAUUUCCUACCUGACCUGGGAUGUCUCCCUAAUUCCCUGUUUGUGUCUACUUUAAUGUUAGCUGUCACUCUAAAUUUCCGGGUAUUUCUAAUUACCUGGGUAUCUCCCUAAUUUCCCAGGUGUGUCUGGGAUAGCUUCUCAUUGUCCAAGGGGUGUUUGUAUUGACCUUUGAUAUCAUCUUAAUUCCCCAGGUGUGUCUACACUGAACUAGUAAGUCUAUAGUUCCCUCGGGUAUGUCUGGUUUACCCGAAAAGUCUCUCUAAAUCCUUUGGAAUAUCUAUACUGACCAGAAAUGUUUCCUUAAUUCCCAAGUUGUGACUACACUGACCUUGGAUGACUUCUAAAUUCUCCAAGAAUAUCUAUAUUUACCUAAGAUGUCCCUUGAUAUCUGCCUAAGAUCUCAGGUUGCCUACCCUGACCGGCUAUGUCUCCGUGAUGAACCCCAUGCGUCUGUUCUGACCUGGAAUCCAGUUCCCGGUUUGGUUUCCUCGGGCUUGGGAAUCUUCCUCGUUCCCCAGGUAUGUUGACUCUGACAUUGUAUGUCUCCCCCAAGUACUAGGUGCAUCUUCCCUGACCUGGCAUGACUUUCUAUUUCCCAGUUUUCUACACUGACACGAGAUGUCUCUCUUUUCCCUAAAAUGUGUUUCCUCUGACCCAAAACGUUGGAGCUGGCCACCAAGAGGAUGUGACCACCAGCUGAUGCAUGAGCUACUCCAGGCAACUGGAGACUCGUCACCCUCCCCACCCCCCGCUCAUUAGCAUGUACCUUCUGCUCGCCUUCUCUGCUUUGUUCUCAGAAGCUGCCCCAAGGACACAGCCUUCGAUGGACGGAUCAUGAUGUGGUGUUGAGACCAUCUAGAUGUAAUAUGUGACUGAACCCAGUUAAGGUCUCUAUUUAAACUUUCAGGGUUUGGCGAGUGGGUGAAGAGAUCUACCCAAGACAAGCCUUGAAUGUAAGUUCUCUUGCUUAUUAAACCCGCCACCUACCAACCUGGAAUGAUCUGCCUCUUUCUUUGUCUCUCUCUGCCCUCCAGGCAGGAAUGCUGGUCUCAGAUUUCACCUGGGAAGCUCCCAAGGUUGCCACCCGGACUCUCCAGGUGGGUCUAACUCUGACCUUGGAUGUCUCCCUAGUUCUCCAGGGAGUCUCCUGUGACGUACGAGAUCUCUUAAUUCUCCCUGGAGUGUGUCCACUGAUCUAGGUUGUGUCCAUAUCUCCCCAGCUGUGUCUACUGUAAUGUGGGGCAUCUACCUAGUUCCCCAGAUGCGUCUCCUCUGGUGUGGGUGUGGCUCACAUUCCCCUGAUCUAGUCUAAUUCCCUAAGAGUGUCUGCCUUGACUCGGGAUGUCUCCCUAAUUCCCCACGUGUGUCUAUACAGACCUGGGAUAUUGCUCUCAAUCCCCAGGUGUGUCAGUUAUGACUAAAGGUGUCUUAUUCCCAGAUGUGUCUAUGCUGCCCAUAGGUGUGUCUACUCUGACAUGGUGUCUCUUCAUAGAUCCACACGUGCUUUUAUCCUGAGUUGGGUGUUUCCGUAUUUCCCUAGGCAUGUUUACACUGACUUCAGAUGACUCUCUGCUUUCUCAGAUGUGUCUACCCUGAUCUCUAAUAUCCCACGUUUGUCCAUCCUGGCCUGGAACGUCUACUUUUCAAGAGCGUCUACCCUGACCUGGCUAUCCCGCUAGCUCCCCAGGUGUGUCUAUACUUGACUCGGUUGUCUACACCACUUUGGGACGUCUCCCUAAUCGUCCGGGUAUGUGUUCUCGAGAGCUAGCUCCUUAAUUCUAGCGGUGUGUCUACUCAAACCUCACGUGCCUCCCUAUCGCCUUGGAUUUUCUGAAAUAUCUCCCCGAUUUCAGGUGUGUCUAAACUGGUGGGGAAUAUAUCUAAUUCUCAGAGGUGUUGACUCUGUAAUAGUUCGCCUUUCUGAGUCUGCAGGGGUGUCUCUCCUGACCAGUGAGGCCUCUCUAGAGCCUCGUGUGUGUCUACACUGACUUGGGAUAAGUGUCUAACAGUGCCAGAGGAUCUGAAGUGGAACGGGUCAUCUCCUUAAGUCCCCCUGAGUGUCUACGCUGCCUGGGAUGUCUCCCUAAUACAGCAGGCAUGUCUACACUAGGACUACCCUCUAAUUCCCCAUGGGUGUCUACUCUGACCUUGAUGUCUCAGCAUAUCCCAAGUGUGCUUACAUGGUCUUUGGAGGUUUCGCUAAUACCCCAGGUGUGUCUGUCCUGACAUGGGUACUUCCUUACCUCCCACAAGGGUCAUUCUAACCUGGGAUGUGUCCCUGGUUAACCGAGGAUGUCUACACAAAACUGAGAUCUCCCCCUCCUUCUCGGGCUACGACACUGACAUGGGCUGUCGUCUUAUUUCCAUGGUUCUGUAUGCGCUGACAUGGCAUGUAUCCCUGACACAAGUGUGUCUGUGCUGACCCGGGAUAGCUUCCUAAUGGCACACGUGUCCGUCUCAAACCCGGGAUAACUCCAUACACAUCAGAUGUGUUUACUCUGACCUGGCAUAUCCUCCUCAUUCCUUACUUGUGUCUACACUACCUGGGCUAUCUCCCCAGGUGUGUCAACACUGUCAUUAGGUGUCUCAUAGCCCUGUCUGCGUAGCAUGGUUUGGGAUUCUCCUAAUUCCCCAGGUGUGUCUACUCUGAACCGGACUAUUUCACAAAUUCUGCUUGUGAGACUACACUUAGAAUUCAUAUUAAUUUCCCAGAUGCAUCUUCCGUGUCCUGGGGCAUAUUGCUAAUUCCAGAAUGGGUCUUCCCUGAUCUUAUUUAUCUGCUUAAUCCUCCGGGUCUGUGCACACAGACCUGGGAGGUCUCUAUGAAUUCCCAGGAGUGUCUACAGUGACCUUGGAGGUGUCCUUAGCUUCCCAGCUCCGUGCCUCGGACCUGUGUGGUCUUCCUGGGUCCCGGUUGUGUCUGCAGAGCUUAGCGUCUUCCUUUCCCCAGGUCAGGCCACACCGUCCUGGGAGGCCUCCCUACUUUCCCAGCGUUGUCAACACUGACCUGGAACGUGUCUAAGACCACAGAUGUGACUACUGUGACCUAGGAUGUCACCGGCGCUUCUGCUCUAACCUGUGAUGUCUCCCUGUUCCCCAGUUCUGUUGAUCUUGACAUUGGCGGUCUCCUUAAUUACACUAGUGCAUCUACUCUGACCUACUGAUGGCUCCCUGACUCCAUGGUAUGUCACACUAAGAAAUGAGGUCUCUUCUUACCUGGCAGGUCUGCGUGCUUUCCCGUAUGUCUCUACUCAGACCUUGGAUGUCUUUUGAAAUCUCCAGGUAGGUCCGCGCUGACCCGGGGUAUGACCCUCAUCCCUCACGAGAGUCUUCACUGACCUUGGAUUUCUUCCUGUCUCCUCUGGUGUGUCUUCUCUGUCCAGAUAGGUCUCCUUAAAUCCACUGGUGUGUCUGUUGUGACCUGGGUUGUCUCCUUAAUUUCCAAAGUAGAUCUCCGCUGACCUUGAAAUAGUUUCCCCACGUUGGUCUAAACUGACCUGGGAGGUCUCUAAUUCUUAGUGCGGGUCUUUUGUGACUUGGCAUAUCUAGCUGUUCCCAAGGAGUGUAUAUCCUGACCCGGAGCGUAGCCAGAAGUCCGUAGGUGUGCCUCCACUGACCUGGGCUGUCUUUAUCCUUUCCUGUGUCUUCUCCGACCGUUAUCUCACCAGCACUCUUACAGGGCAUAUGCCCUGGGUGGUCUUUUUCUCCAUGUUUGUCCUAACCUGGGAUAUAUCUCUGAUACCCCAGGGGUAUCUCCCCUAGCCCAGGAUGACUCCCUAACCCCCAGGUGUUUCUGCCCUCGCCUGGGUGUAUCCGUGAUCACUUGUGUCUGUAUCCUUAACGGGAUUACCUUCUAAUUCUUCGCGUGUGCUUGCUUUCACCUAGGACGGCGCCUCACUUGCACAGGUGUGUCCACUCUGACGGAGGCUCUAACUCCUGGUUUGCGCCCAGUUGCCCAGAUGUGUCUCUGCUGCCUUGCGAAGUCUCGUUAAUUUCCAAUUGCGUUCUUCUGCGUGGCAUGUCUCCCUUCUCCCUAAUUCUCCAUGGGUCUCCUCUGACCUAGAAGUCUGAAUUUUUCCCUGUUUUGAAUCUGGCUAGAACAUGCCCCUCGUUCCCCAAGAGAGUCUGCGCUAAUCAGUGAGGUCUCCCUAAUUGAGGGAAGUUUAUGUCUAAAGUUCCCUCAAAUAUCUACGGAUGUCACUGCCUCGGUACGGCAGUUCCCCAAGUGUGUCUACACCGGUAUGUGUCUGAUUCCUGAAGAGGAUGUCCGCGUGAUGCCCAGCCGUGUCUGCCCCGGACUGGGGUUCUCCUCAGUUCCCCAGCAGGGCCUCUCUCAGUGCUCAGCUGCCUCUCUUGCGGGGAGGCCUCCUGAUUGUCCAGAUGGGUCUGCCCACACCUGCGCCGAGGCCCUUAUUUUCCAAGACCGACUUGCCUGAGUUGCUGUCCUCUCGGCAGUGCCCCGGUUGUGUAAACACUGACCUGGGAUGGACACCGACGUCACCAAUGAAUCUAAGCUGACCUGAGGUGCGUCCCCACCUCACCAGGUGUGACUGUUCUACUAGGACUUUACUGCCUCUCCAGGAGCGUCUUCUCUGAACGGUGAUGCCUACUUCCUUACUUGGGAGGUCUUUUCUCUUGUGUGGGAUGUCUAUUUCCCAGGUAGGUCGUCUUUGAACUCGGCGGCCUCCUUACUAACCCAGGUGUGUCUAUACUAAUUUUCCAGCUGGGUCUCCACUAGCCUUAGAUGACCUCCAGUUCCCUAGUCAUGUCUACACCGAUUUUGGAAGUAUACCGAUUUCUUCGGAGGUCUACGAUUACCUGGUACACUGCCUGAUUUCCCAGUGGCAUUAACUUUGAGCUGGCAUAUUUCCGUAAUUCCUCAGGUGCAUCUACACUGACGUGUCAUUUCCCAGGGGCGUCUUCUCUGACUCGGAGGUAUCUCUGUUUCUGUGUGUUUGCCUUCUCUUAUCUUGGAUGUCUUAUCACCAGGUGUCUCUACCGUAAUCUGGGAUGUCCCCUAAUUCCAGCAUCCACCCUGAUCUGGAUGUAUCCCAAAUUCCUCAGGUGGAUCUAGACUUAACUGGGCUCCUCCCUAAUCCCCCAGGUUUGUCUACGUGAACUUAUGUCUCCCAAGUUCCCCAGGCAGGUCUACACCAACUUGGAAUGUCUCCCUAAUCCACAAGGUUUGUCACUUCUUGCCUGGGAUGUCUGCCUAGGUCUCCAGGGUGUCCCCCUACUGUAGGAUGCCUUCUCACCCCCCUGCUUCAUCUGGUGUAUCUGCACCCACGUGGGAUGUCGAGUUCUGUAGGUGAGUCUACUAGAAAACUAAAAUCCAGAGCGCUUUACUUGAGCUGAGUAUUUUACUGAGAAACCAGCAUUUUGGAAAUGGGGACACAUUCAAACGGCAAGUGGCUACGAAGCGGCUCUCAGCUGUCACAGGCCUGUCUGUAAAGCAGGAAUGUGCAAGUCCAACACUUUCCAUUGUGACUGGAGUUGGUGACUGACAUGGCUUUUCAGUGCAUCAGCUUACUUGAAUAUAGCUGAUUAGCUGAGAAUCUGUAAAGUCAUGCUGACUCGAAGAAAGCUCAAGUGUUGUUUAAAAUUGGAGUUAUUAGCAUUUUUGGAAUCAGGACAGUUUGAAAAUCUGGUUAGGUGACUAUGAGUCUGGUAUGGGGGCAUACCCAACCUGUGGUCUCCACUUGUUUUAUUUUUAUUU
Long non-coding RNA from Neofelis nebulosa (Clouded leopard), 10025 nucleotides. RefSeq lists it as uncharacterized. NCBI's taxonomy places the organism in Eukaryota, Metazoa, Chordata, Mammalia, Carnivora, Felidae. The record is from RefSeq and is a predicted model, not a curated record. The transcript has 5 exons.